RNAcentral lists this ribosomal RNA (253 nucleotides) under uncultured prokaryote. Its description in RNAcentral is "partial 16S ribosomal RNA". It matches the Rfam family "Bacterial small subunit ribosomal RNA", at positions 524 to 776 of the family's 1533-position model. The record is from RNAcentral.
UACAGAGGGUGCAAGCGUUAAUCGGAAUUACUGGGCGUAAAGCGCGCGUAGGUGGUUUGUUAAGUUGGAUGUGAAAUCCCCGGGCUCAACCUGGGAACUGCAUUCAAAACUGACAAGCUAGAGUAUGGUAGAGGGUGGUGGAAUUUCCUGUGUAGCGGUGAAAUGCGUAGAUAUCAUGAGGAAUACCAGAGGCGAAGGCGGCUACCUGGACAAUUGCUGACGCUCAGGCACGAAAGCGUGGGGAGCAAAAGGG